RNAcentral lists this ribosomal RNA (253 nucleotides) under uncultured bacterium. RNAcentral describes it as "partial 16S ribosomal RNA". It matches the Rfam family "Bacterial small subunit ribosomal RNA", at positions 524 to 776 of the family's 1533-position model. The record is from RNAcentral.
UACGUAGGGAGCAAGCGUUGUCCGGAAUCAUUGGGCGUAAAGCGCGCGUAGGCGGCCCUGUAAGUCCGUUGUGAAAGUCAAAGGCUCAACCUUUGAAAGCCGAUGGAUACUGCAGGGCUAGAGUCCGGAAGAGGAGUGUGGAAUUCCUGGUGUAGCGGUGAAAUGCGCAGAUAUCAGGAGGAACACCAAUUGCGAAGGCAGCUCGCUGGGACGUUACUGACGCUGAGACGCGAAAGCGUGGGGAGCAAACAGG